AGCGAAGUGUAGUGUUUGGGAGGAUCUAUUAACCCGGCGUCGCGGGGCGAGUCCAAGUCCUUCUUGAACGGGGCCACUUACCCAUAGAGGGUGCCAGGCCCGUAGGACUGCCACCGCACGUUGGAGAGGUCUCUCCCUAGAGUCAGGUUGCUUGAGAGUGCAGCCCUAAGCAGGUGGUAAACUCCAUCUAAGGCAAAAUAACACCACGAGACCGAUAGCAAACAAGUACCGUGAGGGAAAGUUGAAAAGAACUUUGAAGAGAGAGUUCAAAAGUACGUGAAACCGUUCAGGGGUAAACCUGAGAAACCCGAGAGUCUGAAACGGGAGAUUCAUCGCGUCUYURAGCCGUCGACAAACGCAUGGUGACGAGCGGCCCCGGCCAAUCGCACCGCAGCUAGUCGUGCGGCGAAGAAUGUGUGCACUUCUCCCAAAGUAAGAACGUCGUGAGCCGUUGAGCUCUGGUCUACGGCCCGAUGGGGAGCCCCGGAUUGCGUUCGCGCAUUCCAGGACCCGCGGCGCCCGGCCACCGCCCGACGGCAUAACAAAGGCACGGAGCCGCGAACGCACGCGUCCGGCCCGUCACAAGCGCGCUCGGUCACCCGGAAUUCGGACCUAGUGCCGUUUCUGGAGCUGAGCGGCUGCUGGUGGCGGCGCUCUCGGACCGUCUCCGCACAUGCCUCUCCACGACGCUUUAGCUAAGGGUUACUUCUCAGGACCCGUCUUGAAACACGGACCAAGGAGUCUAGCAUGUACGCGAGUCAUUGGGAAUUAUUAAACCCAUUGGCGAAAUGAAUGUGAAGACCGCUUCGCGCGGCUUUUAGGGAGGAUGGGAAUCCGUACGGAGACCCCGCACUCCCGGGGCGUCUCGUUCUCAUUGCGAGUUGAGGCGCACCUAGAGCGUACACGCUGGUACCCGAAAGA
Molecule: ribosomal RNA, 921 nt
Filed under: Tachyporus hypnorum
Lineage: Eukaryota; Metazoa; Arthropoda; Insecta; Coleoptera; Staphylinidae
Description: partial large subunit ribosomal RNA
Rfam family: Eukaryotic large subunit ribosomal RNA
Source: RNAcentral